Long non-coding RNA from Xenopus tropicalis (tropical clawed frog), 803 nucleotides. RefSeq lists it as uncharacterized. NCBI's taxonomy places the organism in Eukaryota, Metazoa, Chordata, Amphibia, Anura, Pipidae. The record is from RefSeq and is a predicted model, not a curated record. The transcript has 3 exons.
GAUGAAGAUUGAGGAACCCAUGUAAUCUAAUGGCUUCUAUUUCCAGGGUUUUUUUUAUGCUCCACUGAAGAGCCUGCGAGUCAUGCCUGGUGGCCAAAUAGCGGGUUACAAGAUGGGGUAGAAGUGUCACAAGGCUGCAGAGUUCCUUACCUGGUGGAAGGGAGUAUACGGGCAUGCGACUCUAGAGGUCUGACCUGGUGCCUGACAAAGAUAUAUUUACCGAUGCGCGUGUAAGUGCUACAGGGGUCUGCGGUACUUUCACGUUUGACGCCAGCGAAGCAUCAGGCAGGGGGGCGGAGAUUUUUAAGGAAGUGCCUUCCAUGCGAGUGGCGCUGCCAUACUGGGACCGUAGCGUCUAGAGAAGCGCAGGAUAAACAGAGAACAGGAGUAAAGAAAAGACAAGAAGCGGCAGUCUCCACGAUAAGUCGGUGGAUAGUGAUAGCCAUACAGAAGGCUUACACUUCAAAGGGGAAACAGAUGCCAAUGGGCAUUAAGGCACACUCCACUUGAGCAGUGAGCGCUUCAUGGGCUGUGGAAUGUUCCGCCAGACGAAGUUUGUAGAGCUGCAUCCUGGAGCUCUUUCGUUACAUUCUUAAAGGACAAGGAAAGAAGAUCUGAAGCCAAACAGGAAGAAAAAAAAGCUGAGCUGGGUAGAGAAGAUUCCCAUAAUGCCUCGCACCUGCACUGACCAUGGGACCAGGACUAUAGGCGGCACAUGUGCACCAGCAGGAGAGCUCCCUCCAGCGUCCGGUUGCCAUGGCGACCGCAGUCCUUAUAAAUAGUGUAUGCAGCGGCAGCUUGGG